UUUUGCUGCAGCACAUGAAAUGUGGAUCAUGGGCUAGCUUCCGGGGAUGGUAAUGGACUUGUUAGAAAGGAAAGAAAUAUCUGCUAUGUGCAGAUCCUGAUGUUAGACACCAAGAGAGAAGUGGGUGAUGCCCUCCCAGCCACUGGAUAGCCCACCAUAGGACAGAGAGAUGAAAGAUGAGAACAAUCAGUUUGAUUGGUGCCUUUAUAACAUUAUCUCUUUCAAUCUGCAACUUUCUAAUGAGAAAAUAAGAGGAGAGAUCAUCAUUCUCAUUUUGUAGUUGAGAAAUCUAAGAUCCAGAG
RNAcentral lists this long non-coding RNA (302 nucleotides) under Mustela putorius furo (domestic ferret). RNAcentral's name for it is "lncRNA (ENSMPUG00000026963.1)". The record is from RNAcentral. Lineage: Eukaryota; Metazoa; Chordata; Mammalia; Carnivora; Mustelidae.